CUUGGUCGUACUGAUGGUGAGUUGACGCUGAUCUUAUAUUCAGUAGUUCUUCUCGGCUGUAUGUAAUGAAACCUAAGAUGACCUGGGGUACUAGUGUAAGAAAUAACACGUAAAAAAACAAAAAACUGCAUAGUCUCCUAGGAACGCGAAGCGAGGCGGCCAUCUCUGUCGGCGCCGGAAACUCUGGGUGGAGCCAGCAGGCUGCAAGAUAUUUUCCUUCUAUCACCCCCCCCUCACCUCUCCCUGCAAUCUGCCACGAGAUAUAUAUAUUUGUUUAAGUGCCUGUUUUCCACACAGUGUCUGAGACAAAGAAAGUGCCUAAGGGCUGCGAUGUUGACUCCAUGAACUGCACUUAUAUCUCUGUCACAACCAGCCCAUCUUACAUAGUGGAGAUUAGUGCAACUGCAGAGACACUUAAGGGGUACCUGGGGAUCAUCAGUGAAAUACUAACUCAUCAAAUCAAGGUAACACAACACAAUAAGUUUUCCUUAUUUCAUUUUAUUUGAAGGAAAGCUUUGAAGUGGCACGUACAUUUAGGGAUUGGUUUAAUUAAGGCAAGUCAUUCUAAUUUGUUAAGGUUAGGAAUGGAUUCAAACCCGUGACCCUGUGUAUGGCAACCCAUAUCAACCUUUUAUAAAUCAGAUACUUAGACAUUACAGGAACCUCUCCAUUCAUCACCAAAACAUACUUCAUUAAUUACAACAACAAAAUCUGAUGAACCUGCUGAUUUGAAACAUUGUUGAUAUUUUUUCAGUCCAAUGAGUCAAUGAUUGUUGUGCAUGAAAACAUUUACAGUUCAAUACGCCUUGUACAAUGGAUCUGCAUUUAUCAACAAAACACUAGUAAGUUUAAGUCUCUAGUGAUAUUACCAAUUACCGAUACAAUGGAUUCAUUCUCCUCCGGUGCAACAGACAGACCUGUUUCAACUUCCAUUACUUAACCUUUGAUUAUUUCAUACUUUUCUUUCAGCUGGAGGUGACAGACAAAGAAUUUGCUUAUGAUCCUAAUAUAAAAAUAAUCCAAUUUAGUUUCAUCAUCCCUGAUAAUUUGGCUCCACAUUUGCUCCAAAACUUGAAUUUAACGCCUAACGUGUUCUGUGUCUGAGGAUCUGUUGAGGAUAAUGGUGAUCUUGGCUCUCCCUCCAUCACACUUUUGACAGGCCUCUCCAGUCAGGUUUCCUCAAGCUGUAGGAAACCCCUUUUUCACGCCCUGUUGAUGACGCUGGUCUGUUGGAACCUCUUCAACCUUCUGCCUUAAAUCUGCCGAACUUCCAAAGGAGAACUUUGUAUCUAAGUUUAACAUUUUAUUGAUUUGGCCAUUUUUGUUCAAUAUAUAUAUAUCCUGUAGUCAGGCAUAUUUAUGCAAAUGUGUGUAUCUUUUCUCCUGUCAAUUAUGUUUUGUUUAAUGUUUAUUUGUUUCAUUUAUUUUUUAUUUUUUGAAAUGUACAUAGCAUACAGUGUAAAACUAUUCAAAUAUACCAACACAAUAUCUUUAUAUUCUUAUCAAUGCUAAUGUAAAUUAAUGUUUUUGUGUCCUGAUAAGAUGAGUCAUUUGGACGUUUUACAGAUGUUAUGUAUCUGAUACUGAAGGCCUUUUGCUCCACUAGGGGGUGAAAGGAACAAGUACUUCAAAUAUUUGAUAUGGAAGAGCCUCUAGAGCAAGAGAAGUUAAGAAAUAUAUACUCUUAUGCAAGAACACUGUCCAUAUAUAUUUUGAACAUAAUUUCUUCUCCCGUACCAUAUAAUUUUGUAUUUCUUUGGCUGUGUUUACACAGGCAGCCCAAUUCUGAUCUUAUUUUAUUAAUUGGUCUUUUGACCAAUCAGAUCAGCUUUAAAAAAUAGCUGAUGUGAAAACAUCUGAUGUGAUAGGUCGAAAGACCAUUUAGUGGAAAAAAAUUCACAAUUGGGCUUCCUGUGGAAACGCGUACUUUGUGAUGGUAACACAUUUACAGGUAGACCAGAGAAGCCACAUCCCUGAUUGGCAGAUGAAUCGCAACGCUGAUUAGAAGCACCUGCUACUCACCGCUAACUCACCUGUCUUCCCUAUAAUAAAUACUGUUUCUUAUUGAAAAAGUUGUGAACCUACACACUGUAGAAGGCUGUUAAGCCAAAUCAUAUGUGGAUGCUAUCCUGAUGUAGUAAAAAUAAUAACAAUAAAUAAAAAAUUAACUAAGCUUUAUGCAAUAUCUUUUUGAGUGCGGACCCAUCACACUUUCUAAAUAAUGCAAAAGGAAGAGGCCUGGUCAAGAAGAUUGACACCAUCACACCCCUCAAGGGGAUCCCCAAAGCCCCGUUCCGUAGCCCCACCACCCCCAGUAUGUUCAGCCCGCCGAGCAACCGCACACCCAUAGCCCCCGCACGGACGCCCCUGCGCAAGGAGAGGGGAGUCAAGUUGUUAGUCAUCGAAGUAAGUGAAGAGGUGUAAAAAGGAGCUUUUCUGUAAUAAUUUUAUGAAUAGAGAUAUAAGUAACAUUGAAAAUAUGCUUCGUGAUUUUGUAGAAUAGCAUAGCCAGGGGUGGGGAUGAAAAGGACACACGAUUGUAGAAAAAUAAUACUUGAUUUUUAGAAAAUGAAAUGUAUUGGUCAUAUACACAUUAUUUGUGUAUUUAACCAGGCUAGUAAGUUACUUAUAAUGACAGCCUAGGAACAGUGGGUUAACAUCCUUGUUCAGGAUGACAGAUUUUUACCUUGUCUGCUCAGGGAUUCGAUCUAGAAACCUUUAGGUUACUGGCCCAAAGCUCUAACCAGUAGGCUACCUGCCACCCCUUGUGUUGAGGAUUUAACAGAUCUUAUUGUGG
This is a long non-coding RNA of Oncorhynchus tshawytscha (Chinook salmon), 2797 nucleotides long. The record is from Ensembl. Lineage: Eukaryota; Metazoa; Chordata; Actinopteri; Salmoniformes; Salmonidae.